UACGGAGGGUGCGAGCGUUGUCCGGAAUCACUGGGCGUAAAGGGCGCGUAGGUGGCGCGAGUAGUCAACGGUGAAAGCCCGGGGCUCAACCCCGGGUCGGCCGUCGAUACUCUCGUGCUUGAGCACUGUAGAGGCAGGUGGAAUUCCGGGUGUAGCGGUGGAAUGCGUAGAGAUCGGGAAGAACAUCGGUGGCGAAAGCGCUCUGCUGGACUGCAACUGACACUCAGGGACGAAAGCUAGGGGAGCGAAUGGG
This 253-nucleotide ribosomal RNA is filed under the name uncultured bacterium. RNAcentral describes it as "partial 16S ribosomal RNA". It matches the Rfam family "Bacterial small subunit ribosomal RNA", at positions 524 to 776 of the family's 1533-position model. The record is from RNAcentral.